This 345-nucleotide unclassified non-coding RNA is filed under the name soil metagenome. RNAcentral's name for it is "partial contains 5.8S ribosomal RNA, internal transcribed spacer 2, and large subunit ribosomal RNA". The stretch from base 1 to 120 matches the Rfam family "5.8S ribosomal RNA", at positions 35 to 154 of the family's 154-position model. The record is from RNAcentral.
GAUGAAGAACGCAGCGAAAUGCGAUACGUAAUGUGAAUUGCAGAACUCAGUGAAUCAUCGAAUCUUUGAACGCACAUUGCGCCCCCUGGUAUUCCGGGGGGCAUGCCUGUCCGAGCGUCAUUGCUGCCCUCAAGCACGGCUUGUGUGUUGGGCCUCCGUCCUCCUCCCGGGGGACGGGCCCGAAAGGCAGCGGCGGCACCGCGUCCGGUCCUCGAGCGUAUGGGGCUUCGUCACCCGCUCUUGUAGGCCCGGCCGGCGCUUGCCGACACAUCAAUCUUUUUUCCAGGUUGACCUCGGAUCAGGUAGGGAUACCCGCUGAACUUAAGCAUAUCAAUAAGCGGAGGA